RNAcentral lists this non-coding RNA (49 nucleotides) under Trypanosoma brucei brucei. Lineage: Eukaryota; Euglenozoa; Kinetoplastea; Trypanosomatida; Trypanosomatidae. The record is from RNAcentral.
AUACAAUAAAUUAAAUAUAUGAUUUUGUAGAGUGAUAUAUGAUAAUUAU